CCCUUAGAUGUUCUGGGCCGCACGCGUGCUACACUGAGUGGAGCAGCGGGUCAGGUUGCGCGAAAGUGUUUCCUAAUCUUUAAAUCCGCUCGUGAUGGGGAUUGACGGUUGCAAUUUUCCGUCAUGAACGAGGAAUACCUUGUAAGCGCGGGUCAUCAUCCCGCGCUGAAUACGUCCCUGCCCUUUGUACACACCGCCCGUCGCUCCUACCGAUUGAGUGGUCCGGUGAGGCUUUGGGAUCUGAGCGGAAAGAGCGUUUCGCUGUUUCUGCCCGGAAAACUCAGUCGAACCUUAUCAUUUAGAGGAAGGAGAAGUCGUAACA
Molecule: ribosomal RNA, 322 nt
Filed under: uncultured eukaryote
Lineage: Eukaryota
Description: partial 18S ribosomal RNA
Rfam family: Eukaryotic small subunit ribosomal RNA
Source: RNAcentral